RNAcentral lists this ribosomal RNA (119 nucleotides) under Staphylococcus aureus. The record is from RNAcentral. Lineage: Bacteria; Bacillati; Bacillota; Bacilli; Caryophanales; Staphylococcaceae.
UGGUGACUAUAGCAAGGAGGUCACACCUGUUCCCAUGCCGAACACAGAAGUUAAGCUCCGGCUUGACGAAGUGAAAACGUUUGAAUCUGACGAAACGAGAAAAGAGGUUUUGGAAAGUG